GCGUGAGUGAAGAAGGCCUUAGGGUUGUAAAGCUCUUUCACCCGUGACGAUGAUGACGGUAGCGGGAGAAGAAGCCCCGGCUAACUCCGUGCCAGCAGCCGCGGUAAUACGGAGGGGGCUAGCGUUGUUCGGAAUUACUGGGCGUAAAGCGCGCGUAGGCGGCGUACCGAGUUAGGGGUGAAAGGCCUGGGCUUAACCUGGGAACUGCCUUUAAUACUGGUAUGCUUGAGUCCGGGAGGGGGUGGCGGAAUUCCCAGUGUAGAGGUGAAAUUCGU
This 275-nucleotide ribosomal RNA is filed under the name uncultured bacterium. RNAcentral's name for it is "partial 16S ribosomal RNA". It matches the Rfam family "Bacterial small subunit ribosomal RNA", at positions 399 to 691 of the family's 1533-position model. The record is from RNAcentral.